AUUUCCAGGAAGAAUCUGAUGUGGAGCCCACCACAGCUGGAGUCGCUCCCUGCUGGGAUGAACUGCACCUUCUCCAUUAAUCUGCUUCUCAUCAGACAACAAUACGAUGGAAGGCUCAAGGCUGAAGCACAAAACUGGACAAAGAACCAUCAAAUUAUGAAGGAGAAGAACCAAGAGUCCUUUCGUUUUAACCUGCAUGACUGCAGCAAAUGAACAACAGAACUAAUUACCCCAAAUGUCAGAUCUUUAGAUUGCAGGUCAGAUUCUAAAUAUACACGACACAGACCUGCCUAAUGACCCCAUCACGAUGUACGAGAUCCCUUAAGCCUUCCCUAAAUACACCUUUCUCCUCA
This is a long non-coding RNA of Peromyscus eremicus (cactus mouse), 353 nucleotides long. RefSeq lists it as uncharacterized. The transcript is spliced from 2 exons. NCBI's taxonomy places the organism in Eukaryota, Metazoa, Chordata, Mammalia, Rodentia, Cricetidae. The record is from RefSeq and is a predicted model, not a curated record.